CGGGGUGAGUAACGCGUGGGUAACCUGCCUUGUACAGGGGGAUAACAGUUGGAAACGGCUGCUAAUACCGCAUAAGCGCACGGCAUCGCAUGAUGCAGUGUGAAAAACUCCGGUGGUAUAAGAUGGACCCGCGUUGGAUUAGCUAGUUGGUGAGGUAACGGCCCACCAAGGCGACGAUCCAUAGCCGACCUGAGAGGGCGACCGGCCACAUUGGGACUGAGACACGGCCCAA
Molecule: ribosomal RNA, 232 nt
Filed under: uncultured bacterium
Lineage: Bacteria
Description: partial 16S ribosomal RNA
Rfam family: Bacterial small subunit ribosomal RNA
Source: RNAcentral